RNAcentral lists this ribosomal RNA (253 nucleotides) under uncultured bacterium. RNAcentral's name for it is "partial 16S ribosomal RNA". It matches the Rfam family "Bacterial small subunit ribosomal RNA", at positions 524 to 776 of the family's 1533-position model. The record is from RNAcentral.
UACGAAGGGGGCUAGCGUUGUUCGGAAUCACUGGGCGUAAAGCGCACGUAGGCGGAUGUGCCAGUCAGGGGUGAAAUCCCGGAGCUCAACUUCGGAACUGCCUCUGAUACAGCACGUCUUGAGUCCGGAAGAGGUGGGUGGAAUUCCUAGUGUAGAGGUGGAAUUCGUAGAUAUUAGGAAGAACACCAGUGGCGAAGGCGGCUCACUGGUCCGGUACUGACGCUGAGGUGCGAAAGCGUGGGGAGCAAACAGG